This is a non-coding RNA of Pygocentrus nattereri (red-bellied piranha), 888 nucleotides long. NCBI's taxonomy places the organism in Eukaryota, Metazoa, Chordata, Actinopteri, Characiformes, Serrasalmidae. The record is from the annotation of a RefSeq genome assembly.
CCUUUCAGAGCCCCUCACAGCACAAUGAUGACCACUCUGAUCCUCCUGCUGACCGCACUGGGCUUCUUUCCUCAAGCGUCCCACCAAGAGGUCCAGACUCCUGAGAGAAGUUCUGUAGAACCAGGACAGUCCGUCACCUUCAGCUGUGUUGCAGAUCGUGGGAUCGGUUAUCUCAUGAGUUGGUACCAGUUGAAACCUGGAGCAGCUCCUAAACUGCUGAUUUACGGAUCAAGUUAUAGAAAUUCUGGAGUUCCACAGCGAUUCAGUGGAACAAACUCUGGAUACACCUUUACGAUGACCAUCAGUGGAGUCCAGCCUGAAGAUGCAGGAGAGUAUUACUGUAUGGGUUACUAUGACUUUAGUGCCGUGUCCGCACAGUGAAAAAGAGUCGUACAAAAACCUCCAUCGGUCAGAGAUGAGACUCUACACUGCUGCAGCUGCAGCUACUGAACCACAGUGUUAUUGUUAUUUUUGAAUUGCAGCUUUUGUUUUUAAUUUCCUUCAUUAUUUUUCUUCAGAUAAAAGAAACCUCUGUGUCUAAUUUAAACUUUUUUAUAAUCAAUAACCACUCACUGUGUUUAAAAUCAUACUUUUCCUUCAAAGUGUGUUUAAUUUGGCAGACACUGUGAUCCUGAGUAACUUAGUUUGAUUGUUUUACACAGGUAGGUGAAGGUCGCGUUAGACGUCUUGCCUAAAGACUCUCAUUGGUAAAGUAUUCGUCCAGACAAGUGAUUGAACUCCAGUCAACAGAUUGGAGGGCAGAAGUGUUAUCCACUACACUACACCAGCCACUAAUACUCUAAUAUUAACCUUUAUUUAUUAAGCUAUAAACACAUUGAUUAUAAUGAUUUAAAGCAAAUCAAUAAUAAAGUUAAAAGAAUAAAUGUU